UUUUUUUUUGUUUUUUAUUUACUUUCAGUUAUGUAUCCAAUUAUUUAAAUAAAUAUAUACAGAAAAUUACAUUUUUCAUAAAAAUUAAAACGGUAAUUAAAUUUUUUUAAAAAGUAAAUGUUCAUAAACAAAAUAUUUCUCAUUUAUACACAAAAUACAAUGUGUGUGAACAAAGGUUUUCAUGUAUUUAAAAAAUAUUAAUCAACCAUUUGAGAAAAAGAAAAGCACCUAAAAACGUUAAAUGUGUAUAGAAAAAAUGUUGACCAUGUAUUAAAAGAAUGUUUAACAUGCUUUUAAAAAAAAUUAAUCCGACAUUUAAAAAAGGUUAAAUGUGUAUUUUUUUUUGAACAUGUAUUAAAAAAUGUUAAAAGUUUUAUAUGAAAAAUGUUAAUCAAACAUUAGAAAGAUGUUAAAUGUAUAUAGAAUUUCUUUGACCAAGUAUUAAAAAAAUAUCUUGCAUUUGAGAAUAAUGUGAAUAAGUAUUAAAUGUGUAUAGAAAAAUGUUUUCCAUGCUUUAAAAAAAUUAAUAGUGUAUUUGAAUAUUUAGAUCAAGAAUUUAAAAAAUAUUCAAAAUAUGCAUAGAAAUAAUGUUAACCAUGCAAUAAAAUUCUGAGAAAUAAAUAAAGAGAAAGAAGGAAACCAAUGAAACCUAGGAAAUAAACGGAAUUAAAACGAAGAAAGUAAACCAAAAAUGAAAGAUAGCAAAAAGAAAUAAGAAAGCUGAGCAAGAAACAAAGGAAGACGAAAAGAAAAAGGAAAUACUAGUGAAAGCCGUGAAAGAACAAAGAAAACCGGUGAAAAAACAAAGAAAAAUGUUAGGCUAAAGAAAACCAUUGAAGAAAUAGAGAAAACUAAAAAGAAAAAAGAAAAAAGGGAAGAAAUCAGUAUGUCAGCCACCACGAGUGUUCUUCUCGAUCAGAAACAACAAAAGGAGUAAACACACGAAAAGCUAACCGAUCGAGUAAUGCAGUGGGGCGAAAAUACUUCAGACGAGACCAAAUUAACAUUUGCUCUGAGCAAGAUAUAACCUUUGCGCGCUCAAAGCUAUGAGUAGCGCCUUAAGCGAUUAGUAGGAUGGGCCAACUUUUAACACUAAGUCAAUCAUGCUCUAAAAUAGAUUAACGGGAGUGGGAACAAGAGACCUCCUAUUCCUCCUUGAACUACGCAGGGAGAAACCAUUAACUUAAGGGGUCUAAAAGACUCCAAGUAUAUCAAGUAGGUUCUAAAAUCUUUAAACCGUUCACCACGGGUCUUAUAUAUGUAUUUUACCCACAAUUUUUAUGACCUACUUCACAGACUUGAAAUACUUUUAGGAGACAAGUGAAUUUAAAAUACUUUUAGGACCUACGGUAAAUGACUUACACACAUUUAGACAUUUAGGUCCGUGAUGAAUGAACGAUUUUAAACUUUUAGUACCUACUUGACACUCUUGAAAUAUUUGUAGGACCUAUUUUACUCUUUUAAAAUAUGUUAAUAAUUUUCAAAAAAAUGUUUCCAUAAUUCAAAAAUGUUCAUGAUUUGAAAAAAUAUGCACGAAUUUAAAAAUUGUUCACAGUUUCGAGAAAUGUUUAAUUCAAAAAAAUGGUUACCGUUUUAAAAAAUGUUACUGGAUUUCACAAAAUGUUCAUGAUUUAAUAAAUAAAAAAUAAAAGUAAAAUAAAAAUAGAAAUUUAAAAAAGAAGGGAAAGAACGAAGGUGAACAAAAAACAUUACAAACCCAAAAGAAAGAAAAAAACUUUCCUAAAACCGGAAAAGAGCUAGGCCGGACCAUGUGAAGAGAACGGCUUCUGUUUUUUGCAAGUUCAAACCGGACUGAAAUGCUCGCAGCUCUGUGGAUCCACUGGCCUUCAGCUGCGUUGCAAUGGACCAUGGCAAGAUUUACAGGUAAAAAAAGAACGCGGAGUUCAUCGCUGAAACAAAAGGAGUCGAUUUUUUUGUUUCUCUUCAGGUGUAAAUCCACGAUCUUUUAUCUGCCACCAUCCAAAGUCAUGUUUCUUAAUUACUACUCCUUUUGUUUCACCUUCUGUUCUUCAGGAGUACAUCUGUAAAGAAAUACUCCGAGCAUUAACCCCUUUCCAUUAUUAUUUUUAGCGAAAAUACAAAGUUCCAGAACAGGAGACAGGAGAGGGCUAAGCGAGUUCUGCACUAACAGGAAACCCCACUACCUGCGCCUGCAGUCAACACCGCUGUGAUUCACCUGCCAUUACAAUUAAAAUUACCUAGCCAUUAUUUAGUUUCCAGAUCAACACAGGCUACACAAGUUGCGAGUCACAUCGCUGCGAUUCAGCUGCCGAGCGAUUGACAUAGCUGUGCGUGCUCCUCGCAGUGUCACGCCUUGCGGAGCUGGUGCAUGGUCUUCAAGGCGGAGAUGGCCGUGGCCGGGUCGAGGCUCUUGGG
RNAcentral lists this long non-coding RNA (2397 nucleotides) under Triticum aestivum (bread wheat). RNAcentral's name for it is "long non-coding RNA (TAES_LNC008834)". The record is from RNAcentral. Lineage: Eukaryota; Viridiplantae; Streptophyta; Magnoliopsida; Poales; Poaceae.